Molecule: non-coding RNA, 123 nt
Organism: Triticum aestivum (bread wheat)
Lineage: Eukaryota; Viridiplantae; Streptophyta; Magnoliopsida; Poales; Poaceae
Source: Rfam
AAUAUACUCCCUUCGUUCGGAAUACUUGUCCUAGAAAUGGAUAAAAUGGAUGUAUCUAUAACUAAAAUAACUCUAGAUACAAUCAUUUCUAGGACAAGUAUUUUUGGAUGGAGGGAGUAUAAU